This 448-nucleotide ribosomal RNA is filed under the name uncultured bacterium. RNAcentral's name for it is "bacterial SSU rRNA". It matches the Rfam family "Bacterial small subunit ribosomal RNA", at positions 30 to 524 of the family's 1533-position model. The record is from RNAcentral.
CGAACGCUGGCGGCAGGCUUAACACAUGCAAGUCGAACGCCCUCUUCGGAGGGAGUGGCAGACGGGUGAGUAACGCGUGGGAACCUACCUAUCAGUACGGAACAACUCAGGGAAACUUGUGCUAAUACCGUAUGCGUCCUUCGGGAGAAAGAUUUAUCGCCGAGAGAUGGGCCCGCGUCCGAUUAGUUAGUUGGUGAGGUAACGGCUCACCAAGACUGCGAUCGGUAGCUGGUCUGAGAGGAUGAUCAGCCACACUGGGACUGAGACACGGCCCAGACUCCUACGGGAGGCAGCAGUGGGGAAUAUUGGACAAUGGGCGCAAGCCUGAUCCAGCCAUGCCGCGUGAGUGAAGAAGGCCCUAGGGUUGCAAAGCUCUUUCACCCGCGAAGAUAAUGACGGUAGCGGGAGAAGAAGCCCCGGCUAACUCCGUGCCAGCAGCCGCGGUAAU